Carlito syrichta (Philippine tarsier) is the source of this 1460-nucleotide RNA transcript. It is a transcript of the gene named RNA binding motif (RNP1, RRM) protein 3, with no coding region annotated. The transcript is spliced from 8 exons. The record is from RefSeq and is a predicted model, not a curated record. NCBI's taxonomy places the organism in Eukaryota, Metazoa, Chordata, Mammalia, Primates, Tarsiidae.
GUCUUCCCGCGCGGUAGCCUCCCUGUUCUCUCCGGUCCUUAGAGCUCGCUGUCUGUCCGGCUCUUUUGCUUUUUAACUUCCAGGACUCGAACUCACAGCCAUGUCUUCUGAAGAAGGAAAGCUCUUUGUGGGAGGGCUCAACUUUAACACCGAUGAGCAGGCACUGGAAGACCACUUCAGCAGCUUUGGCCCUAUUUCUGAGGUGGUUGUUGUCAAGGACCGGGAGACUCAGCGAUCCCGGGGUUUUGGCUUCAUCACCUUCACCAACCCAGAGCAUGCCUCAGAUGCCAUGAGAGCCAUGAAUGGAGAGGGGGUGGAGGGCAGCGGCAGACAGAGCCGGGCUGCCUGGGAGGCGACGACUGGUCCUGCAUGAGGCCGAGAAGCCACCCGUGGAUGGUUGACCUGCCUUGGGCUUAGGUAGUAGAGUCUGCAGACCUGUGGGCCUGGCCCGGAGAGGACCUCGUGAGUCUUCUGGGAUGGACUCUGAAGCCUCAAACCAAGAGAGGUGUCAAUCUAGCCCUAAUAGUCGGGCAGCUUAGAGGAGUGGGGAGGAGAACUCAGCCUGAGUUCAGUCAAGAUUCCCUGGACGGUCGCCAGAUCCGUGUUGACCAUGCAGGCAAGUCUGCCCGGGGAACCAGAGGGGGUGCUUUUGGGGCCCGUGGUCGUGGCUACUCUAGAGGUGGUGGGGACCAAGGCUAUGGGAGUGGCAGAUAUGACAGCCGACCUGGAGGAUAUGGAUAUGGAUAUGGACGGUCCAGAGACUAUGGUGGCAGAAACCAGGGUGGUUAUGACCGCUACUCAGGAGGAAAUUACAGAGACAAUUAUGACAACUGAGAUGAGACAUGCACACAUAAUGUAGAUACACAAGGAAUAACACUUCUGAUCCAGGAUCGUCCUUCCAAAAUGGCUGUAUUUAUAAAAGAUUUUUGGAGCUGCACUGAAACAUCUGUUUUUAUUACACCAACUUCUAUUUUUCAAUUGCGCUCCCAAGGUAGCUUAUUAAAGACCUUUUAGAAAGCUCCAUGUGUUUUUAAAAUUUUUCUCUCCCAUUUAAAGACAAAUUCUAGGACAUUUGUAGAGUCUGGGUAUUUUUUCUUUGAUGAGUUUUUUAGUUUAGGAUCUCAGGAUUAUUGGUUCUAGCAAUAAUGGGUUCUGGCAAGUUUGGCCAGACUGAUAAAAAUUAAUGUGUAUCAAGGGACAUUUAAGAAAAUUCUGUAUACAAUGUUUAUUAUGGUUAUGAAGCAAUUUCAAAAUGUACCUAUAAGAAAUCUGCAUCAAGAACAUGAUUACCUAGGGGCGUUUUUUUACUCAAGAUCACCAACCUGGUUAUAUAGAAGAGCUUCUUAAAAAUGUAUGUGAAUGUCAUUUUUUUAAAAUACUGGAAAAAAAUAUUCUGUUGUGUCUCAUAUAGUGUUUAGGAUGUCCUUCACGGAGCUGAUUAAAAAGUUGAAACCUGAAAA